GCAUGUGCUGUGAGCUCGAUGAGUAGGGCGGGACACGUGGUAUCCUGUCUGAAUAUGGGGGGACCAUCCUCCAAGGCUAAAUACUCCUGACUGACCGAUAGUGAACCAGUACCGUGAGGGAAAGGCGAAAAGAACCCCGGCGAGGGGAGUGAAAAAGAACCUGAAACCGUGUACGUACAAGCAGUGGGAGCCCCACCACUAAGCCAGUGGUGAACUCCACAUACGCAUCCUUUGCUGAGGAUACGGUUAACGGAGCGAAAGCGACGUUCAACCUCAAAAGAAGCAGAGGGGGCUUAGUGGUGGGGUGACUGCGUACCUUUUGUAUAAUGGGUCAGCGACUUAUAUUCUGUAGCAAGGUUAACCGAAUAGGGGAGCCGGAGGGAAACCGAGUCUUAACCGGGCGUUAAGUUGCAGGGUAUAGACCCGAAACCCGGUGAUCUAGCCAUGGGCAGGUUGAAGGUUGGGUAACACUAACUGGAGGACCGAACCGACUAAUGUUGAAAAAUUAGCGGAUGACCUGUGGCUGGGGGUGAAAGGCCAAUCAAACCGGGAGAUAGCUGGUUCUCCCCGAAAGCUAUUUAGGUAGCGCCUCGUGAAUUCAUCUCCGGGGGUAGAGCACUGUUUCGGCUAGGGGGCCAUCCCGGCUUACCAACCCGAUGCAAACUGCGAAUACCGGAGAAUGUUAUCACGGGAGACACACGGCGGGUGCUAACGUCCGUCGUGAAGAGGGAAACAACCCAGACCGCCAGCUAAGGUCCCAAAGUCAUGGUUAAGUGGGAAACGAUGUGGGAAGGCCCAGACAGCCAGGAUGUUGGCUUAGAAGCAGCCAUCAUUUAAAGAAAGCGUAAUAGCUCACUGGUCGAGUCGGCCUGCGCGGAAGAUGUAACGGGGCUAAACCAUGCACCGAAGCUGCGGCAGCGACGCUUAUGCGUUGUUGGGUAGGGGAGCGUUCUGUAAGCCUGUGAAGGUGGCCUGUGAGGGUUGCUGGAGGUAUCAGAAGUGCGAAUGCUGACAUAAGUAACGAUAAAGCGGGUGAAAAGCCCGCUCGCCGGAAGACCAAGGGUUCCUGUCCAACGUUAAUCGGGGCAGGGUGAGUCGACCCCUAAGGCGAGGCCGAAAGGCGUAGUCGAUGGGAAACGGGUUAAUAUUCCCGUACUUGGUGUUACUGCGAAGGGGGGACGGAGAAGGCUAUGUUGGCCGGGCGACGGUUGUCCCGGUUUAAGCGUGUAGGUGUGUGUUCCAGGUAAAUCCGGUUCACUUUAACACUGAGGCGUGACGACGAGGCACUACGGUGCUGAAGCAACAAAUGCCCUGCUUCCAGGAAAAGCCUCUAAGCAUCAGGUAACAUCAAAUCGUACCCCAAACCGACACAGGUGGUCAGGUAGAGAAUACCAAGGCGCUUGAGAGAACUCGGGUGAAGGAACUAGGCAAAAUGGUGCCGUAACUUCGGGAGAAGGCACGCUGACAUGUAGGUGAAGUGAUUUACUCAUGGAGCUGAAGUCAGUCGAAGAUACCAGCUGGCUGCAACUGUUUAUUAAAAACACAGCACUGUGCAAACACGAAAGUGGACGUAUACGGUGUGACGCCUGCCCGGUGCCGGAAGGUUAAUUGAUGGGGUCAGCGCAAGCGAAGCUCCUGAUCGAAGCCCCGGUAAACGGCGGCCGUAACUAUAACGGUCCUAAGGUAGCGAAAUUCCUUGUCGGGUAAGUUCCGACCUGCACGAAUGGCGUAAUGAUGGCCAGGCUGUCUCCACCCGAGACUCAGUGAAAUUGAACUCGCUGUGAAGAUGCAGUGUACCCGCGGCAAGACGGAAAGACCCCGUGAACCUUUACUAUAGCUUGACACUGAACAUUGAGCCUUGAUGUGUAGGAUAGGUGGGAGGCUUUGAAGUGUGGACGCCAGUCUGCAUGGAGCCGACCUUGAAAUACCACCCUUUAAUGUUUGAUGUUCUAACGUGGACCCGUAAUCCGGGUUGCGGACAGUGUCUGGUGGGUAGUUUGACUGGGGCGGUCUCCUCCUAAAGAGUAACGGAGGAGCACGAAGGUUGGCUAAUCCUGGUCGGACAUCAGGAGGUUAGUGCAAUGGCAUAAGCCAGCUUGACUGCGAGCGUGACGGCGCGAGCAGGUGCGAAAGCAGGUCAUAGUGAUCCGGUGGUUCUGAAUGGAAGGGCCAUCGCUCAACGGAUAAAAGGUACUCCGGGGAUAACAGGCUGAUACCGCCCAAGAGUUCAUAUCGACGGCGGUGUUUGGCACCUCGAUGUCGGCUCAUCACAUCCUGGGGCUGAAGUAGGUCCCAAGGGUAUGGCUGUUCGCCAUUUAAAGUGGUACGCGAGCUGGGUUUAGAACGUCGUGAGACAGUUCGGUCCCUAUCUGCCGUGGGCGCUGGAGAACUGAGGGGGGCUGCUCCUAGUACGAGAGGACCGGAGUGGACGCAUCACUGGUGUUCGGGUUGUCAUGCCAAUGGCACUGCCCGGUAGCUAAAUGCGGAAGAGAUAAGUGCUGAAAGCAUCUAAGCACGAAACUUGCCCCGA
This 2530-nucleotide ribosomal RNA is filed under the name Salmonella enterica subsp. enterica serovar Oudwijk. RNAcentral's name for it is "partial 23S ribosomal RNA". It matches the Rfam family "Bacterial large subunit ribosomal RNA", at positions 390 to 2802 of the family's 2925-position model. Lineage: Bacteria; Pseudomonadati; Pseudomonadota; Gammaproteobacteria; Enterobacterales; Enterobacteriaceae. The record is from RNAcentral.